AAGCCGAUCACUCUGUAUUUUAUCAUCACUCAACUCAAGGGUGCAUCUAUCUUAUUGUUUACGUGGAUGACAUUGUUAUAACUGGUAGUGAUCAGCAAGGAAUACUCCAGUUAAAACAACAUCUCUCAAAUAAAUUUCAGGCUAAAGACCUUGGUAAACUCCGUUAUUUUCUGGGUAUUGAAGUAGCACAAUCCAAGGAUGGCCUUGUAAUUUCACCAAGAAAAUAUGCUAUGGAUAUUCUUGAAGAAACUGGCCUACUAAAUGCCAAGUCAGUUGAUACUCCUAUGGAUCCAAAUGUCAAACUCCUACCCAAUCAGGGGGAGGCCUUGUAAUUUCACAAAGAAAAUAUGCUAUGGAUAUUCUUGAAGAAACUGGCCUACUAAAUGCCAAGUCAGUUGAUACUCCUAUGGAUCCAAAUGUCAAACUCCUACCCAAUCAGGGGGAGCCUCUAUCAGAUUCAGGAAGAUAUAGGAGAUUGGUUGGAAAAUUAAACUAUCUCACAGUCACGCGUCCUAACAUUUCCUUUGCUGUCAGUAUGGUAAAUCAGUUUUUAAAUUCUCCUAGCCAAGAACAUAUGGAUGCUGUAAAUCCGGAUUCUUAAAUACAUCAAAAGCGCACCUGGAAAAGGUCUCAUUUAUGAAGAUAGAGGACAUACUCAAAUAAUUGGCUACUCAGAUGCUGAUUGGGCAGGCUCACCCAUAGAUAGACGAUCAACUUAAGUGCACCUGGAAAAGGUCUCAUUUAUGAAGAUAGAGGACAUACUCAAAUAAUUGGCUACUCAGAUGCUGAUUGGGCAGGCUCACCCAUAGAUAGACGAUCAACUUUCGGGUAUUGUGUACUCAUAGGAGGAAAUUUAAUAUCUUGGAAGAGUAAGAAACAAAAUGUUGCAAGAUCUAGCGUUGAUGCAGAAUACAGGGUCAUGGCACUAGUAACAUGUGAACUCAUCUGGCUGAAACAGUUACUGAAAGAACUUCAAUAUGAAGACACCAGCACAAUGACAUUAAUAUGUGAUAAUCAAGCUGCAUUGCACAUUGCCUCGAAUCCGGUUUUUCAUGAGAGGACCAAGCAUAUUGAGAUAGAAUGCCAUUUUGUUAGAGAAAAGAUUGAAUCAAGUGACAUCAUCACCAGCUUUGUCAAAUCCAAUGAUCAGUUAGUAGAUGUGUUUACAAAGUCAUUGCAAGGUCCUAGAAUUAGUUAUAUAUGUAACAAGCUAGGUGCAUUUGAUUUAUAUGCUCCAGCUUGAGGGAGAGUGUUAAAUACUAUAUUAGAAUGUAAAUAAUAUAUAUGGGCUGUAAGUAUGUAAGUAUUCUGGCCCGUUAGCAUUACUGUAGAUUAGGGUUAUUUAAUACUCUG
Molecule: long non-coding RNA, 1353 nt
Filed under: Cicer arietinum (chickpea)
Lineage: Eukaryota; Viridiplantae; Streptophyta; Magnoliopsida; Fabales; Fabaceae
Description: long non-coding RNA (CARI_LNC000120)
Source: RNAcentral